This is a non-coding RNA of Pelobates cultripes (western spadefoot toad), 208 nucleotides long. The record is from the annotation of a GenBank genome assembly. NCBI's taxonomy places the organism in Eukaryota, Metazoa, Chordata, Amphibia, Anura, Pelobatidae.
CACGGUUGCAGCUAAAUCAGCUACAGGACUGUGGGGGAAUAGAAAUAGCGAUGUGGUUCUAUGGUUAACCCCCUUUGCCUACAGGGGCACUUAACUCCAUCCACCCUGCAGAGAAAGAAGACUAACAGAUAUAAGGUACUAAAUAGGCUACCUGGCUGUGUACAAAGCAUAUAGCUAGAAUAUGCUUGAUACAUGGGGAGUAGAGAGC